This 3358-nucleotide long non-coding RNA is filed under the name Homo sapiens (human). Its description in RNAcentral is "HSALNT0389824". Lineage: Eukaryota; Metazoa; Chordata; Mammalia; Primates; Hominidae. The record is from RNAcentral.
AUACUCCCUUGGGGGCGUCUCGUGACCGCACGCGGUGGGGAGCGUGUGACCCCGGCUCCAGGGCCGAAGGGGACCCGCUGGCCCUCACAGAGCGCCUUCGGGUAAAACGCGCUUUCACACGCAAAUAACUUCCAUCCAACCAUCUAAUAAAUACACAUUUGGAGUUUAUUUUGUAUCAGGCACUGCCAUAGCUACUUCCCUACUGAUGAACGAGAAGACGGUCCCUACCGUCCCCGUCAGGGAGGUGACCUAGAAACCAGAUAUUUAACGUAAGUAAGGAUUUCCAUCAUAGUUGUGAUGCUGCGAAGUAGUGCAGUAAGUAGCGAAGUAGCGAAGUAAGGUUUCCAAAGGAAGUGACUUUUAAUCUGAAACUCAGGGAUGAAUAGGAAUUGGCUAGAAGAGGGAAAGGAAGAGCCUUCCAGACAGAAGAAAUGCAUUUAUUGAAGGCCCUGAGAAGGCAGAGAGCUUGCAGAUUUGAGUAACUAACAGGCUAGGAGGUUCGAGGAGGGAUGGGGCCAUGUGAGCCCAGGCCGGCGGUGGAGCAGGGCUGGCGGGCACGUUAAAGGCUGUCCAUUGGCGGCAGCAGCAGCAACAUAACAGGAGCUGUCAUUUUGUCAGAAGUUUCCAACCAGAGCGACUCCAUCUUGAACAGGGGCUGGGUAAAAUGAGGCAGAGACCUGCUGGGCUGAAUUCCCAGGAGGUUAGGCCUUCGUCACAGGAUGAGACAGGAGGUCAGCACAAGAUAAAAGGUCACAAGACCCCGCUGAUAAAACAGAAUGCAGCAAAGAAACUGGUCAAAACCUGCCAAAACCAAGACAGGAAGGUGACCUCUGAUCGUCCUCACUGCUCAUUAUACGCUAAUUAUAAUGCAUUAGUAUGCUAAAGACACUCCUAGCAGCGCCAGGCAGUUUACAAAUGCCAUGGCAACGUCCAGAAGUUACCCUAUAUGGUCUAAACAGUGGAGGAACCUUCAGUUGGGGGGGAUCCCCACCCCUUUUCUGAAAAAUUCAUUACUAACCCACCCCUUGUUUAUCAUAUAAUCAAGAAAUAACCAUAAAAAUAGCCAACCUUAGGCCAGGAGCGGUGGCUUACGCCUGUAAUCCCAGCACUCUGGGAGGCUGAGGCUUGCAGAUCACCUCAAGUCAGGGGUUUGAGACCAGCCUGGCCAACAUACAGUGAAACCCCGUCUGUACUAAAAAUACAAAAGUUAGCCAGGUGCUGGGCGCGGUGGCUCACGCCUGUAAUCCCAGCACUUUGGGAGGCCAAGACGGGCGGAUACGAGGUCAGGAGAUCAAGACCCUCCUGGCUAACACGGUGAAACUCCAUCUCUACUAAAAAUACAAAAAAUUAGCCGGGCGUGUUGGCGAGCGCCUGUACUCCCAGCUACUCGGGAGGCUAAGGCAGGAGAAUGGCGUGAACCGGAGAGGCGGAGGUUGCAGUGAGCCAAGAUCACACCACUGCACUCCAGCCUGGGGGACAGAGCAAGACUCCCUCUCAAAAAAAAAAAAAAGAAAAAAAGUUAGCCAGGCUUGGUGGCACACGCCUGUAGUCCCAGCUACUUGGGAAGCUGAGGCAGGAGAAUCGCUUGAACGCUGGAGGUGGAAGUUGCAGUGAGCCAAGAUCGUGCCAUUUGCAUUCCAGCCUGGAUGACAGAGCGAGACUCCAUAUCAAAAAAACAAACAAACAAACAAAAAAAGUUGAAAGAGGCCUGGAAUCAGAUAUCAACUUUAGAUACUAGGGAAGUAUGAUUUUUUUUUUUAAUCUCAGCUCACGGGAACCUCAGCCACCCAGGUUCAAGCCAUUCUCCUGUCUCAGUCUCCUGAGUAGCUGGGAUUACAGGCACGUGCCACCAAGCCCAGUUAACCUUUGUAGGGAUGGGAUUUCACCAUGUUGUCCAGGCUGGUCUCGAACUCUUUUUUUUUCUUAAACAUUUUAUUCAUUUUAUAGAGAGAUUUCUUGUUUGCUUUUGUUCUGAUCAUUAGGAGAGUGGUUGAGGAGUAUUGAAUCCAUCACUACUUUGAUGACACAGGUAAGAGUCCAGAUUCACAUUUCCAGGUACCAGGAGUUCCCUCUAAAUGCCACAAUCAAGUCAGCCUUCAUUUACAUUUCUUUCUGCUGAACACAGCAAUGCCCAUUGGUAUCUCUGAAGCGUAAUCGCAUCUUAAGUAAAGCAGCUGUUUGGAAUUUAACACUCCCCUUCUUUUUUGUCUUAUAAACUGAACUGCAUCUACGUACUUCAUUCCACAUUCAAUCAAAGCAAGUGCAACCAGCACAGGUGCCCUUCCCAAUUCCACAACGCAAUGCACUGCAACACAGCAACCUGGCUCUUCACGAAAUUUGGUGUUUAACAGGUUUAACCAAUCAUCUACUAUCUGAUUAGGGGAUGGAGCUCCAUCAUCAAAUGGCCAAUCUAGAACGUGGAUUCCUUCUUUUUCAACUGGAGCUUUAUCAUAUGUAGCAUCACAAACUCAAACCGAAGUCGUCACUCCAUACUUCUUAAGUUCCUCUGUGAACUUGUUGAGAGUAGCAUUGGUAGGGUUGUGAGUUAUCAGAAAACACAUGUUCUCAUAGGAGAUCUCCACAGGGGCUAGACGGUUCAUUACGGCAAAUAAAAAGUGUGAGCGUGCCUGUGAGUGUGAUGGGGAAAGUGAAAAAAAAAAUCAAUAAAUCUUGAAAUGUUUAACAACAGAAAACAUUAAAAAGACCAUGAAAAUGCCUAUUAUCAAUCAGUGUUUUCUCUAUUCAACUUGUUUAUUCCUUAUGAAGCUUCUCUCUUCAAGAUAAGCAAAGUAUUUAGAAUCCACUUGAAUCCAAAUUCAAUUUGGGCCUCAAUUUCUGCAGAUGGAUACCUUCGGACUCCAAAAAACCCAACUACAUACAAAACUGAAGCAGCCUUUACUACAUUUAGGCACUAGUGAGACAAGUUAAAAGUGUAGGUCACUUUCCACUUGUUUACUUGAUGCUUAAUUUUACUGGAGUCAUUCAAAGAAAUAUGCUUGCAAUUAAAAAAAAAAACCAACUAUUUCUGAGGCCAGUCUCGGUGUCCAGAAGUCUUCAAGGCAAUGUUAAUUAUGGCACAUAGAACCUCCAAGCUCACUUGUCAGCGAAAACGCUGUGCUCAGCCUGGCAGAAAUCUGCUCUCACAUUCAGAAUCGCCAUAAAUGUGCAACGUAUAUUCCAACGAAAAACGCUGGCGAGCUGGGGACUGGGCAUUGAAGUCCGGCGGCGGCGGGAGCGAGGAGGUGCCUCUCUCCUCAGUCACCUGGGCGGCGGCGGCGGCGGCGGCUGCGGUAGCGGUGGCGGCGGCUGCGACGACUCCCCCCGAGCCUCGGCGCGCGACGCCCGGCCCGGCGGCGGC